CCUACGGGAGGCAGCAGUGAGGAAUAUUGGUCAAUGGGCGGGAGCCUGAACCAGCCAAGUCGCGUGAGGGAAGACGGUCCUACGGAUUGUAAACCUCUUUUGCCGGGGAGCAACGGGGUCCUUGCGAGGGCCCGUUGAGAGUACCCGGAGAAAAAGCAUCGGCUAACUCCGUGCCAGCAGCCGCGGUAAUACGGAGGAUGCGAGCGUUAUCCGGAUUUAUGGGGUUUAAAGGGUGCGUAGGCGGGCUGUUAGGUCAGCGGGAAAAUGUCGGGGCCAAACCCCGGCCUGCCGUUGAAACUGGCGGCCUCGAGUGGGCGAGAGGUAGGCGGAAUGCGUGGUGUAGCGGUGAAAUGCAUAGAUAUCACGCAGAACUCCGAUUGCGAAGGCAGCAUACCGGCGCCCGACUGACGCUGAGGCACGAAAGCGUGGGUAUCGAACAGGAUUAGAUACCCGAGUAGUC
This 460-nucleotide ribosomal RNA is filed under the name uncultured bacterium. Its description in RNAcentral is "partial 16S ribosomal RNA". It matches the Rfam family "Bacterial small subunit ribosomal RNA", at positions 338 to 795 of the family's 1533-position model. The record is from RNAcentral.